This 253-nucleotide ribosomal RNA is filed under the name uncultured bacterium. RNAcentral's name for it is "partial 16S ribosomal RNA". It matches the Rfam family "Bacterial small subunit ribosomal RNA", at positions 524 to 776 of the family's 1533-position model. The record is from RNAcentral.
UACGAAGGGGACUAGCGUUGUUCGGAAUUACUGGGCGUAAAGCGCACGUAGGCGGAUUUGUUAGUCAGGGGUGAAAGCCCAAGGCUCAACCUUGGAAUUGCCUUUGAUACUGAGGGCCUUGAGACCGGAAGAGGUCGGCGGAACUGCGAGUGUAGAGGUGAAAUUCGUAGAUAUUCGCAAGAACACCAGUGGCGAAGGCGGCCGACUGGUCCGGUUCUGACGCUGAGACGCGAAAGCGUGGGGAGCAAACAGG